RNAcentral lists this non-coding RNA (27 nucleotides) under Bombyx mori (domestic silkworm). Lineage: Eukaryota; Metazoa; Arthropoda; Insecta; Lepidoptera; Bombycidae. The record is from RNAcentral.
UAACAUUUGAAGGGACCAAUUACUGGA